Cucumis sativus (cucumber) is the source of this 68-nucleotide non-coding RNA. Lineage: Eukaryota; Viridiplantae; Streptophyta; Magnoliopsida; Cucurbitales; Cucurbitaceae. The record is from Rfam.
UUCCUAUGAUGAAACACUCCCACAAUUGAUAGGAAGUGCCGUAUGACACUCCAAAAAGCGGCGAGAAG